GACGAACGCUGGCGGCGUGCUUAACACAUGCAAGUCGAACGGAAAGGCCCUGCUUGCAGGGUACUCGAGUGGCGAACGGGUGAGUAACACGUGGGUGAUCUGCCCUGCACUUCGGGAUAAGCUUGGGUAACUGGGUCUAAUACCGGAUAGGAGCCAUCUUGAGUGUGGUGGUUGGAAAGUUUUUUCGGUGUAGGAUGAGCUCGCGGCCUAUCAGCUUGUUGGUGGGGUAAUGGCCUACCAAGGCGGCGACGGGUAGCCGGCCUGAGAGGGUGUACGGCCACAGUGGGACUGAGAUACGGCCCAGACUCCUACGGGAGGCAGCAGUGGGGAAUAUUGCACAAUGGGCGCAAGGCUGAUGCAGCGACGCCGCGUGGGGGAUGAAGGCCUUCGGGUUGUAAAUUCCUUUCGCUAGGGACGAAGCUUGUUUGUGACGGUACCUAGAGAAGAAGCACCGGCUAACUACGUG
This 466-nucleotide ribosomal RNA is filed under the name uncultured bacterium. Its description in RNAcentral is "partial 16S ribosomal RNA". It matches the Rfam family "Bacterial small subunit ribosomal RNA", at positions 28 to 507 of the family's 1533-position model. The record is from RNAcentral.